AAUCAAUCACUUUGUCUCUGCACAAUGAACAUUAUCAAAUAUUAUUAAUGUUGUAAAAUAUAUUGUUCAUUGUUAGUUCAUAUUAGCUAAGGCAUUACCAAAUGUUAAGGAAUAAACUCUUAUAGUAAAGUGUUACUAAAUUUUCUUUUACCAUUUCCUUCACAAUGUCUAUUUAUUUCUAUGGCUAACAGAUUUUGUAACAUUUGUCUUUUUUACAGUCUUACCAUUGCUUGUAAGCUGGAUUGGGUAAGAUGGAUCAUCUUUAAAGGCACCAGGAGUUAAGGCAGAUGUGGAGGCACAACGGGUGAUACCAGACACACACCAAGCACAUUAUGUUCGGACAUUCAAUCAUGACAGGAUCCAGGUGGAUGCUGUCCAUUGAUGAAAGAGUUUGUUCAGCGGUUUCUGGAUAGAAUUAAUUCCAAAGAUGGGAAAAAGUGCACAUCCAGACAAGGAGCAAGCAAAAAGACAAGGAACUUGGUGCAGAGAAAAGCUGUGGCCAUUAACCCCCAUGUGAACAGCUUCAUGCAGUCCCUGAUUGAGUUCGAAUGGACGACUUCAAAGUAAAGGCCACUGUGGUCUGUCUGCCACAGUUUAAUGCAUUUAUUUUUAGUGUUAAAUGAAAUUUAAGUAGAAUAUUUAAAACUAUGGGCCAGUGUUCUUUUUACCACAGUGAAAUGUUACCUUUUAGUCGAUGAUGGACUUUAAACUGAAAACUUCAAACUAUGGAACAGUGUUCUAUUUGCCAGAGUUAAAUAUGUUACAGCAGGGGUCUCCAAACUUGUUUAUACUUGUUGAUUUUAUUUUAUGUUACUUGAUUAUAUGUUUAUUAUUGUUUAAAAUCUUGUUUUAAAUAUGUUUGUUUCAAUUAAAUGUUUUUUUAAAUAAAAUUUUGAUACAUA
This is a long non-coding RNA of Paramisgurnus dabryanus, 902 nucleotides long. RefSeq lists it as uncharacterized. Lineage: Eukaryota; Metazoa; Chordata; Actinopteri; Cypriniformes; Cobitidae. The record is from RefSeq and is a predicted model, not a curated record.